RNAcentral lists this small RNA (1193 nucleotides) under Oryza sativa Japonica Group (Japanese rice). RNAcentral describes it as "sRNA Os03g0140551". The record is from RNAcentral. Lineage: Eukaryota; Viridiplantae; Streptophyta; Magnoliopsida; Poales; Poaceae.
GAUUUGAAGCCAAUAGUUUACUAUACUAUUAAACUUGCUGAGAACUAGUAGUAUGGUUUAAUGGUCACCACAGUAUUGAAAAUGCCCGCGAAAUAACCAAUAGGAAGUAACAUGAGAGAGCGGAUGGGCAAUGCAUACCUCGCAAAUGGGCAUCAGCGAUGUGAAAAGAUGCAUACGCAAUGUAGUUAGGAGUAAGUAAUGAUUUUCUCCAGCUCUGGAGACAUGACCCACACCAAGUGCGCCCUGGAGAUUUCAGGAUUCCCUCAUCACUGAAACAUUGAACGAGUAGGUGAAAAGCAAGGAAAUGUGAGCAGGUGGAGCAUUUAUUAAGCCUUUCCUCAGGUAAAGAUCCCCCAAGAUUGCCUCCAGGCUACUGAGGAGAGGAUGAUGAGAGAGUGAGCCGAUCCUGCUUGAUGAGACCCAUAUUCUGAUCACUCCUUUCCACCUUGAACAGUUCAUUGGUCUCUUUCAAUGCGAUUCUCAGAGCGCCGCUCACGGCAACAAUGGCAGAUGUACUGAUACUUUGAUCUCAUCAAAGAUUCGUCCCAUUGACUACUGAACCCAGUCGUUGCCAAAUGCCAGAUAUCAAUACUCCAGAUACAAUGCUGAUACUGUAAAAAGAAUCCCUACAGAACGUAAAGAAAAGAUUCUUGACAUUAAUAUCCUGCAGGCAUAAGCAUAACAGCUGCGACAGUAGGUGGAUGGUGAAACCAACACACCCAUUAUCCAAACAUAUGUGUCUUUCACAUAUGCCAUGUUUAGAUCCCUCCCCAAAAUUUUUCAUCUAAUUACAUCGAACGUUUGAACACCUGUAUGAAGUAUUAAAUAUGGGCUAAAAAGAAACUAAUUGCACAUAUUGCGACUCAUUUGCGAGACGAAUCUUUUAAGCCUAAUUGCUACAUGAUUUGACAAUGUGGUGCUACAAUAAACAUUUGCUAAUGACAGAUUAAUUAGGCUUAAUAAAUUCGUCUCGCAGUUUUCUGGCGGAAUAUGUAAUUAGUUUUUUUAUUAGUGCCCGAACACCCCAUGCGACACCCUAUAUAAUCACCGAUGUGACACGCCAAAACUUUACACCCCUAAUCUAAACAUCACCAUACUCAUGUUGCUACGAAUUCUAAUUUAAGUAAUGACCUCAACAUGCUAUGUGGACUUUGUAUUUGUCAUGUUUCAACUUCUGAUGCAAGCGUUUAGUG